RNAcentral lists this ribosomal RNA (494 nucleotides) under uncultured bacterium. RNAcentral describes it as "partial 16S ribosomal RNA". It matches the Rfam family "Bacterial small subunit ribosomal RNA", at positions 28 to 507 of the family's 1533-position model. The record is from RNAcentral.
GACGAACGCUGGCGGCGUGCCUAAUACAUGCAAGUAGAACGCUGAAGGAGGAGCUUGCUCUUCUGGACGAGUUGCGAACGGGUGAGUAACGCGUAGGUAACCUGCCUGGUAGCGGGGGAUAACUAUUGGAAACGAUAGCUAAUACCGCAUACAGUAGAUGUUGCAUGACAUUUGCUUAAAAGGUGCAAUUGCACCACUACCAGAUGGACCUGCGUUGUAUUAGCUAGUUGGUGGGGUAACGGCUCACCAAGGCGACGAUACAUAGCCGACCUGAGAGGGUGAUCGGCCACACUGGGACUGAGACACGGCCCAGACUCCUACGGGAGGCAGCAGUAGGGAAUCUUCGGCAAUGGACGGAAGUCUGACCGAGCAACGCCGCGUGAGGGAAGAAGGUUGUCGGAUCGUAAAGCUCUGUUGUAAGAGAAGAACGAGUGUGAGAGUGGAAAGUUCACACUGUGACGGUAUCUGACCAGAAAGGGACGGCUAACUACGUG